Molecule: transfer RNA, 70 nt
Filed under: Macaca sylvanus (Barbary ape)
Lineage: Eukaryota; Metazoa; Chordata; Mammalia; Primates; Cercopithecidae
Description: tRNA-Lys
Source: RNAcentral
CACUGUACAGCUAUCCUAGCAUUAACCUUUUAAGUUAAAGACGGGGGCAAAGACACACCCUCUGCAGUGG